UACGGAGGAUGCAAGCGUUAUCCGGAUUCAUUGGGUUUAAAGGGUGCGCAGGCGGAUUAAUAAGUCAGUGGUGAAAUCCUACGGCUCAACUGUAGAACUGCCAUUGAUACUGUUAGUCUUGAGUAUUGUUGAGGUAGGCGGAAUGUGUCAUGUAGCGGUGAAAUGCUUAGAUAUGACACAGAACACCAAUCGCGAAGGCAGCUUACCAAGCAAUAACUGACGCUCAUGCACGAAAGCGUGGGGAUCAAACAGGAUUAGAAACCCCAGUAGUCC
This 273-nucleotide ribosomal RNA is filed under the name uncultured prokaryote. RNAcentral's name for it is "partial 16S ribosomal RNA". It matches the Rfam family "Bacterial small subunit ribosomal RNA", at positions 524 to 796 of the family's 1533-position model. The record is from RNAcentral.